AGUCGAACGCAGUAGCAAUACUGAGUGGCAGACGGGUGAGUAACAUGUGGGAAUCUGCCUUGUGGUUCAGGACAACAUUGGGAAACCGAUGCUAAUACUGGAUAAGCCCUUACGGGGAAAGUUUUAAUGCCAUAAGAUGAGCCCGCAUUUGAUUAGUUAGUUGGUGAGGUAAUGGCUCACCAAGACAAUGAUCAAUAGCUGAUCUGAGAGGAUGAUCAGCCACACUGGGACUGAGACACGGCCCAGACUCCUACGGGAGGCAGCAGUGGGGAAUCUUGCACAAUGGAGGAAACUCUGAUGCAGCGAUGCCGCGUGAGUGAAGAAGGCCUUUGGGUUGUAAAGCUCUUUUGUAGGGGAAGAUAAUGACUGUACCCUAAGAAUAAGGUCCGGCUAACUUCGUGCCAGCAGCCGCGGUAAUACGAAGGGACCUAGCGUAGUUCGGAAUUACUGGGCGUAAAGCGCGCGUAGGCCGUUGAGUUAGUUAAUUGUGAAAUCCCAAAGCUUAACUUUGGAACUGCAAUUAAAACUGCUCGACUAGAGUUUGAUAGAGGAAAGCGGAAUACAUAGUGUAGAGGUGAAAUUCGUAGAUAUUAUGUAGAACACCAGUUGCGAAGGCGGCUUUCUGGAUCAACACUGACGCUGAGGCGCGAAAGUAUGGGUAGCAAAGAGGAUUAGAUACCCUCGUAGUCCAUACCAUAAACGAUGAUUGCUAGAUGUUGGAAAUUUAUUUUCAGUAUCGCAGCUAACGCAUUAAGCAAUCCGCCUGGGGAGUACGACCGCAAGGUUAAAACUCAAAUGAAUUGACGGGGACCCGCACAAGCGGUGGAGCAUGUGGUUUAAUUCGAAGAUACGCGCAGAACCUUACCAACCCUUGACAUGUCUGUCGCGAGUUUAGGAAAC
Molecule: ribosomal RNA, 900 nt
Filed under: uncultured Alphaproteobacteria bacterium
Lineage: Bacteria; Pseudomonadati; Pseudomonadota; Alphaproteobacteria
Description: bacterial SSU rRNA
Rfam family: Bacterial small subunit ribosomal RNA
Source: RNAcentral